This 4434-nucleotide long non-coding RNA is filed under the name Homo sapiens (human). RNAcentral describes it as "HSALNT0213249". Lineage: Eukaryota; Metazoa; Chordata; Mammalia; Primates; Hominidae. The record is from RNAcentral.
CUGGGUGACAGAGUGAGACUCCGUCUCAAAACAAAACAACAACAAAAACCAUAACAAUAUUUGUAAAGCACUUCGCAUAAUUCCUGAGCAAGCACUCAAUAAAUAUUAGCUAUCAUUAUUUCUCUUUAUUCAAGAAGUAUUUUUUGAGCAGCUAUUAUAUGCCAGAUACUGUGUUAGGGGCUAGAGAGUCAUUGAUGAGUAAAAUAGGCAAGGUGUCUGCCUUCUUGGAGUGGGGAGAUAGACAUUAAAUGAAUUCAUUUAAUUCAACAAUUAACAGCUAUUAGGAUCAGGCUUCUCUAACUCCUUGGGGGUACAUCAGUGAAUAAAACAAAGAUCCCUACUCUUGUGGAACUUAAUUUUUAGAAAUUAGCCCAAAUGCUUUCUAAAUAAAUGUAUUACUAGAAAUGGUGGUAAGUGCUAAUCAUGAAAAGCCUAGGGUGGAAUGAGGGCUUCUAAAAGGUUCCUAAUUCAGCCUGGCUGCUGGGGAAAGUCCUUUAUGUGGAUGUGACAUUUUAAGUUUGAGAUCUAGAUAAAAAGUAGGCUGAACUGAGACGAAGAGUGGGAGGUGGAGGCAGAGAACAUAUGUAUAAUGCUAGUAGCUCAUAUUUAAUUCCAUGUUCCAUGCCUUUUCACAAACGUUCUAGAGGACAGGACUGCCAAAGAUGAGAGGAGAUUCCUGCAUCCGAAGUUUGCAAUCAGGCCGGGUGCAGUGGCUCAUGCCUGUAAUCCCAGCACUUUGGGAGGCGGAGGUGGAAGGAUUGCUUGAGCCCAGGAGUUCAAGACCAGCCUGGGCAAUAUAGGGAGAUCCUGCCUCUCUCUCUCUCCCCCAACCCUGCCUCUCUUUUAAAGACAUUCCCAAUCAGAUUGAAUUUAGUUCUCAGCUCCAGGAUGCAUGGCAGCAGCUGCCUAGUUUUUGCCUUCUCAGGAAUCACUGACAGUUGGCAGUUGCCACCUCAGCUUCCCUUGGUCCCCAUUACCUGGAACAAUCAGUCCCAACUACGCUAGGAAUGACCUCUCUGUAGCUAGGUGUGGUGGUGUGCGCCUGUAAUCCCAGCUACUUGGGAGGCUGAGGCACGAAGAAUUGCUUGAACCUAAGAGGCAGAGGUUGCAGUGAGCUGAGAUCAUGCCACUGCAUUCCAGCCUGGGUGACAGAGCGAGACUCCGUCUCAAAAAAAAAAAAAAAAAAAAAAGGAAUCACCUCUCUGGGAAUUGACUUCAGCUUCUUUUACUUGCCUUAGUGAGUGUCACCCUAGGGCCCCCAGAAAUAUGUCAGCAUACAUUUGCUGCUGGAUUUAAAUAAUCUAGGGUGGGCUGAAUAAUCAAUCUUUGAGAGUUGAACUAGCUUCUGAGCUACAAACAUGCACAUAAUCCUUUAGCCCACUUUUCCUUUGCUACUGAAUUUUCUCUAAUUUAAGUUUUAAAGCUCUUCUUAGGUCAUUUCCACCAGCAAGCUUUCAAGCCCUGGUUCAUAUUCUAGCUUAGAAAUAGUUCACAUAGUUCUGUGUAGACAUAAUAUUUACGGGAACCAGAGAUGGGUGGAUUCUGAUAGUGGCUUGUGGAAUAGUCUCCAGUGCAGUCAAAAUAACAAAGAAUUUGAGAAGCAAAUGCUUUGAGAGUCUAGUUUCCCAUAAACUUCUCAAAUAUACAGGCUUAAAUCCUGUGUAAGGAUCAGCAGAAUCCAGGAAAGUAGGGCCCUGUUUGAGAAAGCCUUGGUUUGUUCACUGUUUGCUGUUUUACAGCACAAAUUCUGAACUCUGUUUAUUGUCAACAGCUCUCUAACAAAGGACACAAUGGAAUGUGCCUGUUUUCAAAUUCCUGUAAAAAAGGGCCCUGGAAGACCUCCAAGCCUGGUGUCGGUGAUUUACUUCACUAUUUUUCAGUGAUUUCACUUAAGACUCUAAGCUUUUGAGAGAGUUCUUACCAAUCAUCAACAUUAGUGUGGAGCUACGUAUAAGAAGGAUCUAGAUGGGCUGUAAUUGAGUGAGAAUAAAAUACAACUAUCCAUAUCCUGUUGGAAGUGUAGGGACAGCUAGGGAGGAAAGUGAGCUGGGAGUAGCUGGGAACUUUUUACAUUUAGUAGCACUGAUCCAAAGAUCUGGAGGGAGGAGGAGAUUGCUGUUGGUAAGUCAGGCAGUAGGGUUUGAGGUGCACCUUGCAAAGACGGCUGGUUUCAAAGGUGUGGGGGCAUUGGCACUUAUGUUUCUCAGUACAUAACCUUACAUUGGGAAGCAUCUCCUCUGCCCUGAAUACCCUGCUCCUUGUUCUUCCAUGGCUAGUUCCUUGCUAUCAUUUGCUUCUCAUGGAAAUUGUCUCCUUCUUCUACCCAGUCCAAAGUAGCAACACACUUCUUCACAACAUAUUCUUCCAUUUUAAUUACCUGCCCAAGGCUGGGCAUGUUGGCUCACACCUGUAAUCCCAGCACUUUGGGAGGCCAAGGUGGGCAGAUCACUUGAGGUCAGGAGUUCGAGACUAGCCUGGCCAACAUGGUGAAACCCUGUCUCUGCUAAAAAUACCAGAAUUAGCUGGGUUUGGUGGUGCACACCUGUUGACCCAGCUACUCGGGAGGCUGAGGCACGAGAAUCACUUGAACUGGUGAGGCAGAGGUUGUAGUAAGCUAAUAUCGUGCCACUGCACUCCAGCAUGGGCGACAGAGCAAGACUUUGUCUCAAAAAACAAAAAACAAACAAAAAAAUUACCUGCCCAGCACUUACUUACUUUUAUCUGACAUUUUUGUUUUCUUAUUAAUUCAUUACUGGACUAUAAGCUUCAUGUUGGUAGGAAGCUUGCCUGUUUACUGUGGAGUCUAGUGACUGGUACAUAGUAGGUGCUCAAUAAAAGUGAUGAAUGAGUAGCAAGGAAUAGGAUAAUUGACUUUGUACAAUUUGAGUUAAGAAGGGAUUAACUUUGCAGCGUCCAUACAAAGUAACUGUAGGUAAUUGGUUUUUUUCUGACCCUUAUACAAGGUAAUAAUAUUUUGAGGUAUGUGAAAGUCAUUUCUUUCCUGGAAAGAAUUCUGAAACCAAUGGAAAAAUAGAAAGCAGGCUAGAGAUAUCUGAUAAGAAUACGACUGAAUUAAUCUCAAACUAGAUGUGUGAAAUAAAUGCCUCAGGGCUGCUCUUAUCUAAAUGUAAAUCUAAAACAUCUUAAUCUGAAAUUCCUCAGCUUUCUGCAUUAUUCUCUGGUCAUUUUACCAUAUGGGCCAGAAAUGGGUAAGAAGUAUAGAAAUUAUGACCUGGGGCUUGGAGCUGUUGUUUGGUGAAACCGUUGAUUUCGUGGGCCAAUGAGUAGAGUGCUAGUUGAAGAACUUUUUUUUUUUUUCUUCCAUUUCCCCAGCCUAUUUCAUAACCUCUUACUUCCUUCUUUUCCAAAUUCUAAGCUCAGACAGACAUCAGCUGGAUGAAGCCCCAGGUUCAAACAAACUUGCCUUGGAUAUCAAAGUACUAGUAGCAAAGGAACUCCCAAUUCCUCACCUGCUGUGAAGUUUCCCAUUCACUGCAAGCAAAGUCCAGGUGAAAGCAAAGAUUCUUCACCCGCAGAAACCCUCUGGGCAGGCCAGGCACGGUGGCUCACGCCCAGAAUCCCAAUACUUUGGGAGGCCAAAGUGGGAGGAUUGCUUGAGCCCAGGAGUUCGAGACCAGCCUGGACAAUAUAGUGAGACCCCAUCUCUACAAAUAAUAAAAAAAAGUAGCCGGGCUUGGUGGCCCAUGCCUGUGGUCCCAGCUACUUGGGAGGCUGAGGCAAGAUGAUCGCCUGAGCCCAGGAGGUCGAGGCUGCAGUGAGCGACCGCAUCCUAGCCUGGGUGACAGAGUGAGACCCUGUCUCAAAAAAAUAAAUAAACAAAAAUAAAAAUAUACGUUUAUUCUACAAGGAUUUGAGUGCCUUGGUGUCAGGAAGCAUGGUACUGAGGAUAGAUAACUGCUAAAUAAGACAGAUAAGGUCCCUGCUCUUGUGGAGCUUACGGACUAGUUGACGAUGGCAAUGAAACAGUACAUAAAUGGACAGGGUAAUGUAGUGAUAAGUGCUAGAUAGAAAAGAAAACCAGGUAACAUGACAGAAAGUGACUGAAGGGCAAAGGAGUUUGCAACAAUGGAUGGGGAAGACAGGAGGGGCUUCCUGGAGAAGGUGACAUUUGAGCAGAUGUUGGUCAGGAGGAAGAGUCAACUUGUCAAGGUCUGUGAGGAAGAGGGAAGAGUGGGUACAGAGGCCCAGAGGCAGAAGCAGCUUGGCAUAUUUGAGGGAGAGAAAGGCCAAUGUAGCUGGAGUGGAGUGCAGGAAAGUGGUUCAAGGUAAGGUUGGAAGGCAAGGCAGAGGCUGAAGCCUGUGGACUGGGAAUCCUCAUAAGAAGUGUAGAUUUUUAUCUAAGUGUCAUUCUGUAAACUGACCUCUAAACAGGUUUGGGGGGAUAACAGUUCUGUUUGGUGUUCUGAUUUAAUU